Molecule: long non-coding RNA, 1415 nt
Filed under: Homo sapiens (human)
Lineage: Eukaryota; Metazoa; Chordata; Mammalia; Primates; Hominidae
Description: HSALNT0248248
Source: RNAcentral
CUCUUCAUGGAUUCUAUCUUCUGAAACCCUUUUUUCUUUCAUUGUGAUAAAAAAAUCAGCAUAUAUGUGACUAAUCUAAAUAAGAGAUUGAUUGUGUGAGACCACUGAAAACAAGCAUAUGUGAGUGAUUCCAUACUGAUUUUUGUUUUAAAAUUGAGCACGUUUUAAAAAUUUUGUAAGGCUCGGCGUAGUGGUUUAUGCCUGUAAUCCCAGCACUUUGGGAGGCCGAGGUGGGUGGAUCACUUGAGGUCAGGAGUUCGUGACCAGCCUGGGCAACAUGGUGAAACCCUGUCUCUACUAAAAAUACGAAAAUUAGGCCGGGUGCGGUGGCUCACACCUGUAAUCCCAGCUACUCAGGAGGCUGAGGCAGGAGAAUCGCUUGAACCUGGGAGGCAGAGGUUGCAGUGAGGUGAGAUCGCGCCACUGCACUCCAGCAUGGGAGGCAGAGCGAGACUGCAUCUCAGAAAAAAAAAAAAGGGCCAGGCAUGGUGGCUCACACCUGUAAUGCCAGCACUUUGGGAGGCUGAUGUGGGUGGAUCACGAGGUCAGGGGUUCAAGACCAGCCUGGCCAACACAGUGAAACCCUGUCUCUACUAAAGAUACAAAAAUUAGCUGGGCAUGGUGGCAUGUGCCUGUAGUCUAGCUACUCAGGAGACUGAGGCAGGAGAAUCGCUUGAACCUGGGAGGCGGAGGUUGUGAUGAGCCAAGAUCAUGCCACUGUACUCCAGCGUGGGCAACAGAGCAAUACUCCAUCUCAAAAAAAAUGUUUUUUAUAAGUUAAUUUUAAGUAGCUAGGCAUGGUGUCACACACCCAUAAUCCAAGCUACUCGGGAGUCUGAGGCGGAAGGAUCGCUUGAGUCCACAGAGGUGGUGAGCUAAGAUCGCGUCACUGCAUUCCAGCCUGGGUGACAGAGCAAGACUCUGUCUCAAAAAAAAAAAAAAAAAAAAAAAAGAAAGUGUGAAACCUGAUUCCUCAACUUAUUUUAAAAUUUUAUAUAUUAAAAAAAGUGUUAAGUGAACAAAAGUAAACUUUAAAAAGAGUAGCAAUUCAACUUUUUGCAAGAAGCUGCAUAAUACAUGAUAUGAGGGGUUUGAUUGCCCAUUUAGCACUUCUGUGCAUAGUUCUUUUCAUUUUUUUUAAGUUUUUUAUUUUUUCAAAGAAUCUUUGUUCACUCUGAUAUGUGUAGUUCUUAAUUUAGUUGCUUUAUCCAUUGGUCUUAAGAAAGUAACUCUAUACCAGUUGGCUAUCCAAGUUAUUAAUUCUUUUAAUCACUUUAAUUCACCCCUACAAAUAAAAUGAUUUCGUUUUUCGAAAAUUAAAAUCUAAAAGUGUCUUAAAAUUUACUUUUUGGGCCAGGUGUGAUGGCUCACACCUAUAAUCCCAGCACUUUUGGAGGCUGCGGCCAGAGGAUGGC